AAAAGCUAUUACUUGUACCGAAAUUUUGCAGUUUUUAGCUAUUAUCUUAGAUAUUAUUAUAUCUAAUACUAUAAACUAUGAUUUUAACCUUAUUUUACAUGAUUUCCAAAGCAUCAGUCAAUACAGGUGAGAGACACAGGCUCUUUAGAGCUUCUAGCUGUUUAUGUUGUACAAAACUAAGCUUAUACUGUUAUUGACCAACCGACAGACACUAUAACUAUUAAAUGAAAAUAAAUAUAAUAACUUAAAUGAUAUAGAUAAAUUAAAACAUAUCCUCAAUCCUGAAACAAAACAGGACACUUGCAAAUUAGGCUCCUUCUUAAAAAAGUCACUAAGACCGAGGACAGGGAGUCCUUGAUAUAAUUUGAAUCUCUUAUAUAUAUAUAUAUAUUGAUUUAAAGAAAGACAAGGAGUAUAGUUCAAAGUGUCUACAUUGUUUAUUUUCAUUGUUUUAUAUAUGUAAAUUGUAUAUUAUGUAUCAUGUUUUAAGCCAUUGGCCCAUAUGGGUGUAAAGUGCUUUUCAAUAAAGAAUUAAAAAAAUAACAAAAGUAUGCUCUCCAAAAAAAGCGAAAAUAACCCCCACCCCAAAAAAAUAAAAUAAACAGCUAUAGGGUAUCUUUUGAUUGUAAGAAGUUUGGUAAAAAUUCAGGAUAGAUUUUGAAUCAAAUAAAUGUUUUAAAAACUUUUAACUGAAGACUGUAUGUAAUGCUAACUGGAAGAAAAACUAAGUCAAUUUAUAAGUAAAAUACAGCAAACCAGGAACAAAAAUGUUCUGCUAGGUAAUAGCUACGGAUCAUAAACAAGCUUUUGGCCAAGUCCGGUAUAAUUACAAGAUAGUUUUAGAAAAUUAUUAAAAGUUUAAAGACUUUAAACGCAGAGUGAAUGUUAUGUUUCCUAGGAGAAAAACUAAGUCGAUUUAUAAGGAAAAAAAUACGGAAAAAAUGAAAAAAUUUUACAAAAUUUUAUUCUUGAUAUUUUUAUGAUCCUAAACAGGUGAGUGAAUGAAAUGCUUCGUGGCAGAAAAAUAUAUGUUCACUUUAGUUAAAUAUGAAAAAAAACAGGAUAUUUUUUUUUCAAAUUUACUCCUAGAUACUAUCUUAUGGUCAUUAACAAGUUUCUGUCCCAGUUUGGCAGAAAUUCAGGACAGUUUAAGAAAGUCAUUAUAAUUUAAAAAACCUUAACCACAUGGUCAGUAGUUGUGGAUGACAACGUCAGAAUGUAGGAUCCCUAUGUCUCUUUUUUAGCUCACCUAAAGGGCCAAGUGAGCUUUUCCCAUCACUUGGCGUCCGUCGUCCGUCGUUGUCGUCGUCCGUCGUCGUUAACUUUUACAAAAAUCUUCUCCUCUGAAACUACUGGGCCGAAUUAAACCAAACUUGACCACAAUCAUCAUUGGGGUAUCUAGUUUAAAAUAUGAUAAAACACCCUAGUCUGGCAUUUGUGACAUCCUAGUCAUACACAAUCAACUUGAUAAUCCAUAAAGACAUCAUAUCUUUGUAAUAACUGUUCUAUUGUAUCUAUCACACCUUCAUUUAUAAUGUCUUCAUCUAACACCCCAGUCAUGCCCUCAUAGCACCCUAGUAAGGCAUUUGGGACAUCCCAGUCAUAUACAAUCAACCAUUUAAUACAUACAGACAUCAUAUCUUUGUAAUAAUUGUUCUAUUGUAUCUAUCACACCUUCAUUUAUGAUGUCUUCAUCUAACACCCC
Molecule: long non-coding RNA, 1705 nt
Filed under: Mytilus galloprovincialis (Mediterranean mussel)
Lineage: Eukaryota; Metazoa; Mollusca; Bivalvia; Mytilida; Mytilidae
Source: RNAcentral